RNAcentral lists this ribosomal RNA (253 nucleotides) under uncultured bacterium. RNAcentral describes it as "partial 16S ribosomal RNA". It matches the Rfam family "Bacterial small subunit ribosomal RNA", at positions 524 to 776 of the family's 1533-position model. The record is from RNAcentral.
UACGUAGGUGGCAAGCGUUGUCCGGAUUUACUGGGUGUAAAGGGCGUGUAGCCGGGCUGACAAGUCAGAUGUGAAAUUCCGGGGCUCAACCCCGGACCUGCAUUUGAAACUGGGGAUCUAGAGUGUGCGAGAGGUAUGCGGAAUGCGUGGUGUAGCGGUGAAAUGCAUAGAUAUCACGCAGAACCCCGAUUGCGAAGGCAGCAUACCGGUGCACAACUGACGCUCAGGCACGAAAGCGUGGGUAUCGAACAGG